Molecule: transfer-messenger RNA, 384 nt
Filed under: Acidimicrobiales
Lineage: Bacteria; Bacillati; Actinomycetota; Acidimicrobiia
Also listed under: 1 other name
Description: JAEUJM01 sp016794585 Standard tmRNA
Rfam family: transfer-messenger RNA
About the family: Bacterial tmRNA, also known as 10Sa RNA or SsrA, is named for its dual tRNA and mRNA-like properties.
Source: RNAcentral
GGGGCUGAUCGGUUUCGACGUGGAGACCGGCUGACGUUACGUGCGACCGGAGUUGCUCAGACUCCUUAAACGGGGCACCCAAAGAAGCGCCGAUGGCGACUUCGCUCUCGCAGCCUGAUCUAGCGAUCAGCUAAGAGAGUCAUCGCGACCCGUGAGGGCACGCGGGGCCUGUUCACUGCAGCCCGGCAACAGAAGCAGUGGAGGACCGCAGGGAGAGACCGCUGACGUCGGGAAAGACCGAUGGCACCGGGGGAAGACCCGGCGGCGGGCGCAAGCCCAGCUGACCCGGCAGUGCGGUGACCGCGAGCCGCAACCUCGGGAAUGGUCGUAGCACGAGCGCUCACCGCUUUGCGGACGAGGGUUCGAUUCCCUCCAGCUCCACCC